Molecule: ribosomal RNA, 468 nt
Filed under: uncultured bacterium
Lineage: Bacteria
Description: partial 16S ribosomal RNA
Rfam family: Bacterial small subunit ribosomal RNA
Source: RNAcentral
GACGAACGCUGGCGGCGUGCUUAACACUUGCAAGUCGAACGGAAAGGCCCUGCUUUUGUGGGGUGCUCGAGUGGCGAACGGGUGAGUAACACGUGAGUAACCUGCCCUUGACUUUGGGAUAACUUCAGGAAACUGGGGCUAAUACCGGAUAGGAGCUCCUGCUGCAUGGUGGGGGUUGGAAAGUUUCGGCGGUUGGGGAUGGACUCGCGGCUUAUCAGCUUGUUGGUGGGGUAGUGGCUUACCAAGGCUUUGACGGGUAGCCGGCCUGAGAGGGUGACCGGCCACAUGGGGACUGAGAUACGGCCCAGACUCCUACGGGAGGCAGCAGUGGGGAAUAUUGCACAAUGGGCGGAAGCCUGAUGCAGCAACGCCGCGUGCGGGAUGACGGCCUUCGGGUUGUAAACCGCUUUCGCCUGUGACGAAGCGUGAGUGACGGUAAUGGGUAAAGAAGCACCGGCUAACUACGUG